UAUUAGUGGGGGACAACAUCUCGAAAGGGAUGCUAAUACCGCAUACGUCCUACGGGAGAAAGCAGGGGAUCUUCGGACCUUGCGCUAAUAGAUGAGCCUAAGUCGGAUUAGCUAGUUGGUGGGGUAAAGGCCUACCAAGGCGACGAUCUGUAGCGGGUCUGAGAGGAUGAUCCGCCACACUGGGACUGAGACACGGCCCAGACUCCUACGGGAGGCAGCAGUGGGGAAUAUUGGACAAUGGGGGGAACCCUGAUCCAGCCAUGCCGCGUGUGUGAAGAAGGCCUUAUGGUUGUAAAGCACUUUAAGCGAGGAGGAGGCUACUUUAGUUAAUACCUAGAGAUAGUGGACGUUACUCGCAGAAUAAGCACCGGCUAACUCUGUGCCAGCAGCCGCGGUAAUACAGAGGGUGCGAGCGUUAAUCGGAUUUACUGGGCGUAAAGCGUGCGUAGGCGGCUUAUUAAGUCGGAUGUGAAAUCCCCGAGCUUAACUUGGGAAUUGCAUUCGAUACUGGUGAGCUAGAGUAUGGGAGAGGAUGGUAGAAUUCCAGGUGUAGCGGUGAAAUGCGUAGAGAUCUGGAGGAAUACCGAUGGCGAAGGCAGCCAUCUGGCCUAAUACUGACGCUGAGGUACGAAAGCAUGGGGAGCAAACAGGAUUAGAUACCCUGGUAGUCCAUGCCGUAAACGAUGUCUACUAGCCGUUGGGGCCUUUGAGGCUUUAGUGGCGCAGCUAACGCGAUAAGUAGACCGCCUGGGGAGUACGGUCGCAAGACUAAAACUCAAAUGAAUUGACGGGGGCCCGCACAAGCGGUGGAGCAUGUGGUUUAAUUCGAUGCAACGCGAAGAACCUUACCUGGGCCUUGACAUACUAGAAACUUUCCAGAGAUGGAUUGGUGCCUUCGGGAAUCUAGAUACAGUGCUGCAUGGCUGUCGUCAGCUCGUGUCGUGAGAUGUUGGGUUAAGUCCCGCAACGAGCCGCAACCCUUUUCCUUACUUGCCAGCAUUUCGAUGGGAACUUUAAGGAU
This 1021-nucleotide ribosomal RNA is filed under the name Acinetobacter baumannii. RNAcentral describes it as "bacterial SSU rRNA". It matches the Rfam family "Bacterial small subunit ribosomal RNA", at positions 131 to 1147 of the family's 1533-position model. The record is from RNAcentral. Lineage: Bacteria; Pseudomonadati; Pseudomonadota; Gammaproteobacteria; Moraxellales; Moraxellaceae.